CAUUUAUACAAGAUUCUUUUUUUCUUUUUUCUUUUUUUUGAGAAAUAGGUAGCACGCUAUUCGUUUCGUUUAUUUCAUUUAGAAAUAAAUUUAGCUGGAAAUGUGAAUCAACUAGGAUUCAAAUUUAGGUCACGGGUACCAACCACCCAGCCCUUUUGCCACUUACUUUAGAGACGGUCGGUACAUUCAUACAAAUUCUGAUAUCAAAU
RNAcentral lists this long non-coding RNA (209 nucleotides) under Ananas comosus (pineapple). Its description in RNAcentral is "long non-coding RNA (ACOM_LNC011174)". The record is from RNAcentral. Lineage: Eukaryota; Viridiplantae; Streptophyta; Magnoliopsida; Poales; Bromeliaceae.